CGGGUGACCAUGAAGUACACGUUAUAUAUCACUUUCUACUUCGAGACUGAGGUGGUGGAGACUCCCAAGAAACGAGGCCGACCCAAGAAGAAUUCCACUUCACAGAAGUUAAAAUUCUGAGGGGAGACGGCAACAGGAACAGUAUGUUCCUCUCCGAGGCCGACUCCCCUACAGAUAUGAAAUUACACAAUAAUAAUUAGUACAAGCAAUUAAAAAAAUGUAAAAGCAAAUACAAAUAAAACAAGCUAAAUAUUGAUCAUGAUGACUGUUUUGCCAUGUCAACAGUACCAUAGAUACAUACAUCAUUCUAGUGUACACUAUUUAAUAAUCCUACCUGGCUACUGAUGGAAUAUUCUAUGGAAUAGCAUGACAAAUGGAUCUAAACUAUGAGUCGGGGCAAAACCAACAUCAAAAUGACUUGUUCUCACCUGAUUGCAAAGUUUUUAAA
Branchiostoma belcheri (Belcher's lancelet) is the source of this 448-nucleotide long non-coding RNA. RefSeq lists it as uncharacterized. The record is from RefSeq and is a predicted model, not a curated record. Lineage: Eukaryota; Metazoa; Chordata; Leptocardii; Amphioxiformes; Branchiostomatidae. The transcript is spliced from 3 exons.